This 589-nucleotide small RNA is filed under the name Pongo abelii (Sumatran orangutan). Its description in RNAcentral is "retained intron". The record is from RNAcentral. Lineage: Eukaryota; Metazoa; Chordata; Mammalia; Primates; Hominidae.
GGGAGCUUCUUGCGAAGAACUGCCCGCAGCAUCCUGGACCUUCCGUGGCAGAUUGUGCAGAUCAGCGAGACCAGCCAGGCCGGCCUGUUCAGGCUGUGGGCGCUCGUUGGCAGUGACUUGCACUGCAUCAGGCUGAGCAUCCCCCGUGUGUUUUACGUGAACCAGCGAGUCGCUAAAGCAGAGGAGGGCACUUCGUAUCGCAAGGUAGGGAGGCAGCUGGUGCUGCCUCUGCAGUCAUCUGGGCAGCCUGAGGUGGCUUUCCUGUGAUCUAGCAUGGCCUCGAGCCUCCAUCUCCUCAGUACCUUAGGGGGAUGUUGUAGGAAUUCCUCAAAACAACGUGUGUGAGCACUGAGCCCAGAGCCUGGGGCAGAGCGAGUGCCGGGAAUGGAGCUGCUGGUGUCCUUGUCACGAUGAGCUUGUCUGCCUGCGAGGUCCAUGUUGUGGGGACAAACCAAGUGGCGUUGGUUAGAGAUUGUGAACUCUGUCUCCAUAGGCUCUUUGGUUGUUAACAGCUUUAUUGGGAUGUAAAGUUACACACCAUCCAACGCACCCAUUUCAAGUGCAGAAUUAAUGGCUUUUAGGGGCAUGA